UACACUCCUACGGGAGGCAGCAGUGGGGAAUUUUACGCAAUGGGGGAAACCCUGACGUAGCGACACCGCGUGAGCGAAGAAGCCCUUUGGGGUGUAAAGCUCUGUCAGCUGGAACGAAAACAAUGACGGUACCAGCAGAGGAAGCAUCGGCUAACUACGUGCCAGCAGCCGCGGUAAGACGUAGGAUGCGAGCGUUGUCCGGAUUUAUUGGGCGUAAAGAGUUCGUAGGUGGUUUGUUAAGUUUGGUGUUAAAGAUCGGGGCUCAACCCUGGGACUGCACUGAAUACUGGCAGACUCGAGUGUGGUAGAGGCUAGUGGAAUUCCCAGUGUAGCGGUGAAAUGCGUAGAUAUUGGGAAGAACACCGGUGGCGUAGGCGACUAGCUGGGCCAUAACUGACGCUGAGGAACGAAAGCCAGGGGAGCGAAUGGGAUUAGAAACCCCGGUAGUCCCAUGA
RNAcentral lists this ribosomal RNA (455 nucleotides) under uncultured organism. RNAcentral's name for it is "partial 16S ribosomal RNA". It matches the Rfam family "Bacterial small subunit ribosomal RNA", at positions 332 to 804 of the family's 1533-position model. The record is from RNAcentral.